This 505-nucleotide ribosomal RNA is filed under the name uncultured bacterium. RNAcentral's name for it is "partial 16S ribosomal RNA". It matches the Rfam family "Bacterial small subunit ribosomal RNA", at positions 28 to 507 of the family's 1533-position model. The record is from RNAcentral.
GACGAACGCUGGCGGCGUGCCUAAUACAUGCAAGUAGAACGCACAGUUUAUACCGUAGCUUGCUACACCAUAGACUGUGAGUUGCGAACGGGUGAGUAACGCGUAGGUAACCUGCCUGGUAGCGGGGGGUAACUAUUGGAAACGAUAGCUAAUACCGCAUAAUAUUGAUUAUUGCAUGAUAAUUGAUUGAAAGAUGCUAUUGCAUCACUACCAGAUGGACCUGCGUUGUAUUAGCUAGUAGGUGAGGUAACGGCUCACCUAGGCGACGAUACAUAGCCGACCUGAGAGGGUGAUCGGCCACACUGGGACUGAGACACGGCCAAGACUCCUACGGGAGGCAGCAGUCGGGAAUCUUCGGCAAUGGACGAAAGUCUGACCGAGCAACGCCGCGUGAGUGAAGAAGGUUGUCGGAUCGUAAAGCUCAGUUGUAAGAGAAGAACGGGUGUGAGAGUGGAAAGUUCACACUGUGACGGUAUCUUACCAGAAAGCGACGGCUAACUACGUG